This 428-nucleotide ribosomal RNA is filed under the name uncultured bacterium. RNAcentral describes it as "bacterial SSU rRNA". It matches the Rfam family "Bacterial small subunit ribosomal RNA", at positions 29 to 502 of the family's 1533-position model. The record is from RNAcentral.
AACGAACGCUGGCGGCAGGCCUAACACAUGCAAGUCGAACGCUCCCUUCGGGGAGAGUGGCAGACGGGUGAGUAACGCGUGGGAACAUACCUAGUGGUACGGGACAACUCAGGGAAACUUGGGCUAAUACCGUAUAAGCCCUACGGGGGAAAGAUUUAUCGCCACUAGAUUGGCCCGCGUUGGAUUAGCUAGUUGGUGGGGUAACGGCCUACCAAGGCGACGAUCCAUAGCUGGUCUGAGAGGAUGAUCAGCCACACUGGGACUGAGACACGGCCCAGACUCCUACGGGAGGCAGCCAGUGGGGAAUAUUGGACAAUGGGCGCAAGCCUGAUCCAGCCAUGCCGCGUGUGUGAUGAAGGCCUUAGGGUUGUAAAGCACUUUCAGUCGUGAAGAUAAUGACAUUAGCGACAGAAGAAGCCCCGCUAACU